Parelaphostrongylus tenuis is the source of this 77-nucleotide non-coding RNA. The record is from the annotation of a GenBank genome assembly. Lineage: Eukaryota; Metazoa; Nematoda; Chromadorea; Rhabditida; Metastrongylidae.
GCGUCGGUAUGUGCAGCGGUUCAGCGCGCGCCGCUCUCGUAAGGAGGGAAGUCUGGGUUCAAAUUCCAACUGACGCA